GUAAAGCUCUCUUUCAUUUGGCAAAUAUUGAUCUCCAGCCUACCUGCCUAUAAGAAAUGCUGCUGGUUGAUAACACCUGACUUCCUUUCACAGAAUCCUCCUUGAGGCUUCUUGUUCACGGGUCCUCAGAGAUACAGAUGGGAUCAUGCAGACUGCUUCUUCCAACAGAGUACUUCAUUCAUACAUGUGAAGGAAGCAGGAGGAAGGAGGUAACCAAGAUAAAGAAACCGAACAAGUGACUUUAGAGGAAAUUGAGCUAAUUCUAAAAACAGAAGAGAUCUUAAAAGCAAAUUUUAUCAUCAGUAGAGAUUUGAUAGAGCUAUAGUGCUUUCAAAACCAAGAAUGGCCUGCAAAAGAAAAUGAGCAAGCUGAGAACAACAAAAACAAGAGCAAGGCCUGCACCUAACAGCAGGGGUGAGAGGAGAAGCUGAAGGUCAAAGGGGAAAUUCCUCCUGCUAGGACUUGUUUUUACAAGUUAAGCCAAUAUCCACAACAUCACCAAUGCUCCCUCUCCAUGGAGAGGACACAGUGAAAGACAAAAUUCAGAAGAGAGCUUGAUGGCUAUCCACAAUCUCAGUUCUGGAGGCUGGAAAUCCAAGAUCAGAUACCUGCGUAGUUGAGUGCUGGUGAAGACCCUCUUCCGGGUUUCAGACUGCCCACCUUCCUGUGUCCACGCAUGGCGGAAGGGCUGCAAGCAAUGGAAAUCCAGCCUCAUAGGAAUCUGAGGAGGCAACAUGUGGAUGAAAACGCUGUCUUCUCUUCCUUAAAUGGGAAUUCCAUUCAAGGGAAAAACUCUUUCACCAUUGGAUUAGAAUGACCAUGUGGUUUGUGUUUGUGUCAGAGCCUCUUGGCUGAAUUCUGAAAACCUCUUUAAAACUCAGUAAAUCACACACUCACAUCUGUAGCAAAGUUGUAGUAAUACCUUUAAAAAAAAAUCUAUAAACUCACAUACUUCCCUGUACAUGUUCAUCUGAAUAAAUUAUCAUUUGAGAAGGCAUUUCAUUCAGAUUCUGUGAUUCAGACUUCCAAAUCAUUCAACCUGAAUGCUCAAAAUGUGUUUCCCAGAUGGGCAAAGUUGAGCUCAAGUUCAGAUUAGUUGUUGCCAAAACACUCAAUCUACAAAGUAUAUUGGAAUAUUCAGUCCUUUAGUCAAAAAGUCAUUUGGCUAAAAUGUAAAAUUGACUUUAACAUUUGCACAAUGAACUUCUUGAAGAGGAUAGAACAUCCAUGACAUGGAAGUAGCAGUCCAUUUGAAAGAUGCUUGGAUGAAUCCACACAAUAUAGAUUAGAUUAUCCGUAUUAAUGAAACUUUCAAGAUGGGGAUUGUGGCAUUACAGACACACUGUUCAUUUUCACUCCUCUCUUUAUUUUUUCUUGCUGUUUUCUCUGUCUAGGAGGCUCUUAUUUCUGUAUGGCAAACUCCCACUCAUUCUUCAAAACAGUUUGAAUGUCAUUUUAUCUGUGAAGCCUACCUCUGACAGAAUGAGUUUACCUCCUCUGUUUCCUUAGUCUUUUAAUUCAUCUCACUUUCUGAAUUUUCACAUUUUAGUAUUAGAUAGAUAGAUGAUAAAUACAUAGGUAGAUGUUGAGGUGUGUGUGUGAGUGUGUGUGUAUCAACACAAGUAGACUACACUGCCUGGAGGGCAGACAUUGUGCCUUAUUUGUUUAUGUAUUUCUAGUUCUUGAUGCAAAAUAUUUCACAUAACAGAUUUAAUAAUCUAUUAACCUAUUGUAAUCUAAUCUAUUAUAAUCUAUUAAUCUAAUAAUCUAAUAAUCUAUUGAAUUAAAUUAAAAGUAAUUUGAUUAUGUUGAUAUUAAAGUUCCAUUAUACCGUCAGGAAAUCAUUUAAAGAUAUUAUGUAAUUAAUGUUAAAUAUAUGUUAAUCUUAGCACAUGUAAUAAGUUAUGAAAGUAUUUUGAAAUGACAGGGUGUCAUGAUUAAACAAUACAGAUAUUUUAUCAGUUUGACAGAUUUUUCUCUAUAAUGAAUGCACAACUUUGGUCUGAUUUAUCACCAUUUCCACAUAAAUCAUGAAAAUACUUUUGUAAAUCUUGAUCCGUUUUAAAGCGUUUGGAUAUCCAUUAUCUUAUUUGAUUGAAUUGACUCAAUAUCCACAACUAGAUUGUGUGACAGUUUGAGCAAAUGUCAUUGUCCCAAUAUAUAAAUCUAUAAUAUAUAAAUCUAAAAUCAACUAACUUUCCCAAAGUUGCAACACAGACUAGUGGCAAAGUCAGAGUUUCACUCUGUGCUCUCU
RNAcentral lists this long non-coding RNA (2254 nucleotides) under Equus caballus (horse). RNAcentral's name for it is "lncRNA (ENSECAG00000029126.3)". The record is from RNAcentral. Lineage: Eukaryota; Metazoa; Chordata; Mammalia; Perissodactyla; Equidae.